UAAUAAGUGUUUUAUGGCACUUUUUAAAUCCAUAUCCACCUUGUGUGCAAUGUCAGUCGAUCUUCUUCAUGGAGAUCGACCAAACAUCAACCUUUAUUUUUAACUCUUUGUCUGAAAGAUAUUAUGAAUAAACAAUUCAAAAUA
This 144-nucleotide unclassified non-coding RNA is filed under the name soil metagenome. Its description in RNAcentral is "partial internal transcribed spacer 1". The record is from RNAcentral.